AUAAAAUGUAGGUAAAUGCAAAGCAUUUUGAAUGAUGGAAAUGAAUCCAGUGAUUUUCUGAUAUAAGCUCUGUCAUGCGGUAGUAAGCAGCAUACUUUCAGUACUACUUUUCAGGUAGGUGUGUUUUGUGGCAGUCGGUCUCGCUACCAGAUCACGAACCAGUGCAAAGAGGCGCCUGUCCACUGAGGUCUGUGCUGGCUGGAAGUCUAAAGCAAUGGAAUACAAGUCUUAUGGGUUUUAUUUUCAUGAUACAUGCUGGACAAGAGCAAAGAGAAAAAUUCCCUUUACUUUGUCUCCUGCUUGUUUUCUCACCUGCCUCUCGUUCUUGGCAGAUGCGCAAAAGAGGCCUUGGAGGAGAGGAUCAACAGCUGCACGGCAGAGGAGAUCUAGCCUGGCUUGGUGGUGGAUGGAUAAACAUGGAUCCACUGGACACACGGAAUCAGAACAAAAGUUUAUCUCCUUGUAUAACCUCCUCGUUAUAAUUACUGAACAAAAUAACAGCAAUAAGACACGACAAAAGUUGAAAAUGAGUGCUUGCUGCAGGGACUGCUGUGCAUUUUCUGACCCAUUCACAGGUAGGCAGAACUUGGAAGCUGGCUGGAUGUCCACAGUGUUCAGCUUUACCUAAUGGACACAGAUGCUUCUCUUCAGCUUGUGCUUGUAUUGGGCUGGUUUUCAAUUUAUUUCUUAGUGAAAAGAAAAGCAAAUUAUUGUUCUCCAUUUAAAGCCUGGGUCUUGCUGUGUGAACAAGUUCUUUUUUUUUUUUUAAUUUAUUUAUUUUAUUUUUUUUUCUGAUAGCGGAGAUUUUUUUUUUUUCUUCCCACUUCCCAUUCCUGAAUACUGCUGUGGUAGAAGAUGGAAUGUAAACUCUCCUUUGAUUUUGCUUCUCUGGUUUGUUUCAAACAUUUGAAUAUCCUGUUAUUAGAAAGCCAAAUUGCCAAUGUUUGUCACAGUGUUUUAUCUGUGAUCUUAUUUGUUUCCUGAGUAGAAGAAAUAGAUAUUUGAUGUUGUUAUUGUAUAUUGUGAUUCUUAUCAUGCUUUUAUAGAGGUGUAACUCAGUUGACUCUAGUUGAGAUGCUUCUGAUUUAUACCAUGGAGAAAGGAGAGCAGGAAUAACCAGGUCAUGAUGUUUUAAGGAUGAUAUCUGUAGCAGAUGGUAGUAGUCCACAUAGCAAACUGGAUAGAUGCAAGAUAUUAAAUCAGAGGAACCAUUAUCUCAGUUUUAUUUCUUUUGAACUUUGGAGCUUUCUUUUGUCACAGUUAUGAGGAAAAAAUACUGUAUGCUCACAGGAACGGAGGAAGGAAACUGAAUUGUUUGUAUAUCAUGAACACAAGUGUGGCUUGAGACGUUUUUUUCUUAAAAUGAUCAUGAGGGGCAUUACGGAUGCAUCUGUAAAAGCUCUAAAGUGGAGUUGUGUGCAUCCUAAAUAGCAGAAAAUUAUAGAAGUAGUAGUGCUAUGAUUUGAUGGCCUCUUCCUGAAUCAGCUCCAAACUGAAACUGCAGAUGCCAGAAGAGACCAAUUAGUACGAAUAUCAACGCUGUAACUGAGCUACCCAAAAUAAGUAACUGAGAAAUUGUCAAAGAAAGAUCUGAACAAAAUGAUGGCAAGAUUAAAACAGUCAUUAAUACUGAAAAGCUAAGAUAGGGGAAAGGGGCGAUGAGCAUUACAGUGCAGCUAACCAUGCAGCCUACAACAAUUUUGUAAUUAAGAAGCCAUUAGUGGUCUGCAUGCUGGAUAGCAUUAUCCCAACUCCCACAUCAUGUCAGUUAAAACACUGUUAAUGUGUUUGAUGCAUUAUGAGGUAAAUCAGAGAGAAACUAAGAAGAUACACUUGUCCUCUAUGCUUCUACAAGAUUUCUAGGGUUGGGGAGGUUUUCACUACAAGUGCUCAAGGGGAACAUGAUGUCUUUUUAUCUGGCUUCCCAAUUCAGUGUGUUUGGGGCUGACACUCUGGAGAACAAGGGGUCGGUUCUUGGUCAUACAACCAAGACAUGGCAUUUUUUCCUCCAAUGAGUCUCUAAUUUUUUUUUUGUUUGUGGAAGAGAAAACAUUGGGAUUACUAUGCUUAUAAAAGUAGUCAGAGUAUUAGAGGUUAAAAGUAUUGUGUUGUUAGUGUGUGUGUGUUAUCACCAAAAUCAUUCAGCUUCACACUUUGACAAUGUGCCCAUCUGUUUCCUACUUCCUUCAUUAAGAUACUCUCAUUUAUUAAGACAAGAGGAAAUGGAAGCAAUUGAAGUGCUAAUUUUAGCUUAAACAUUAAACUGAUUUUAAGUGUUCUAUAGAACAAAUAUCAAGGGAGUCUAAAGCAUAUAUAUACACCUACUGGAUUUCCACAGUGAAUAGAUACCACAGAAGAUUUAGAACAAACAUUAACAUAAAUUAAACAUGGAUCUAAAGAUUUUUAAGUCCCAAAGGUCCGAUCUAUGAUAAAUUAAUAGAAUAGUUCCAAAGCACGCACAGGAAUACUUCUCAAAAUUGGCUAAUGUGCUAAAAUGAUCUUAAAGGGCAAAACAAGUAUUUCAAAUAGAAAGCAAGAGAAAAACAGGACUCAGAGACUUUUCAACUGUAUUUUGUAAUCUACUGCAUGCAUUUUAAUAUAUAAAAAAAAUGAAACCCUUGUUCAGUAAGGUACAACAGAAAAUGGAUGAAAUGGGAUACAUUUCACAUAUGUAAAAGGCUUUCAGAACGGAGAGGUAUUUCUCAAGCUUUUCUAGUGGCUUUGAGUGGGAAAGGAUGACAACAUUUCAAUAGUCUUGAGCUUAUGAGAUUUAUUUCUCCAUUUAACUUCUCUGGUAAUUAGUCGAUUUUACUAACUAGCCAUUUAUGUGACAGAUGAUUCCUUAAGUAAAUGCAACAACAGUCAUGAAAGCUUGGGAAUGCUUUUUAAGCAGAUCUGCCAAUAUUGCAUUUAGGGGUUUCAGGAAUUAGUGAUUAGCUGAUUAAUAUGUACAUUUUUGCUCAAAAUGAUAACAGCCGAGGAUGUUGAGAUGUCUGGUGUUAACUAUUGGUCUUUCGAGCUGGAAAAUUGCCCAAAAGGCACCUAACUUAGCACAUUGUCAAUAAGUAGGUAUGAGGUCUUGUAUAUUACUUGAAAUAAUAAAUAUAUCACACAAUAGUCA
Molecule: long non-coding RNA, 3121 nt
Filed under: Anser brachyrhynchus (Pink-footed goose)
Lineage: Eukaryota; Metazoa; Chordata; Aves; Anseriformes; Anatidae
Description: lncRNA (ENSABRG00000020196.1)
Source: RNAcentral